Molecule: long non-coding RNA, 223 nt
Organism: Helianthus annuus (common sunflower)
Lineage: Eukaryota; Viridiplantae; Streptophyta; Magnoliopsida; Asterales; Asteraceae
Exons: 2
Source: RefSeq, a predicted model, not a curated record
CUUAAUUAUCAGAAGGAAUAGAAUCAAGAAGCUUGCUAAAUCAUGCUUAUACUGUAUUUAUAGUAGAAUGGAAUGAGAGUUGGAUACGACACCGAAAGGCUUAAAGUAGUGGCUUACUUUAUCAAUUAAACUAAAUCAAGAAAUGUUGUUCAUGCUAAAGCUACCUUUGUAAAACAUGGGUUUUAUCCCAUCUAUUUAAUAAAUAAAAUCCGGUGUUUCUAAA